Molecule: long non-coding RNA, 7846 nt
Filed under: Sus scrofa (pig)
Lineage: Eukaryota; Metazoa; Chordata; Mammalia; Artiodactyla; Suidae
Description: lncRNA (ENSSSCG00045012785.1)
Source: RNAcentral
AUUCACCUCAGCUGGGAGGGGCCUCUCAGAGCCCUGGGGAAAGCAGGGAACAGGCGACUGCUGCAUUACAGAGAAGAAACAUGGUGAAGACCCAUCUGCCUCCUCCCUCUGCAUUCUCAGGAGAGGAGCUCCGACUUACUUGGCACCUGCAGCAGGUGGCGUCCUAAGGGCCAGGGGCAUCCUGAGCUCAGGUAGCAAGUUCAGGGUGAGUGGAGGCAAAGAAAGAAAAGGAGGGGCUGAAAUUAUUGCCAUGCUGAGCUUAUGCAUUGUCUUCUUACACAGGAAAGAAAUACUAGACUCCAGAAAUCUUUUCCUCCCCUCCUCCCAAAGACACACACACACACACACACACCCACUUACAGAUACACAGUCGCGCACACACCCACACACACACAAACUCCUUUAAAUCCCUAGACCCUUUCCCUCAAUUUCCUUAUGAAAAGCUUCACUCAAAAUGUUAGUCCCCAGCCACCACAAAACAUGAGGGUUAAACCUGAAGUUCUCACAAGUCAUGCAUGACCUUAUGCAACACACCCAAGAGCACUUGGUGAAGAAUUUCACAUAUGCUGCAAAAGGGGAGAGAGGGGAACCUACAUUCAUCAAAUCACAGGCAUGCUUCUUGCAAGUUCUUAAUAGCGAAUCAAGGGCUAAAAGCCUAGAAAUGUGGACUUACCUCAGAAAUAGAAAAUAUUUGUUUUAGUUUGUACAUCUUGUAUUUUUAAGCCAACGACACCUCAUUUCCUCUGCAGAAUCUUUUUCUUUAGUGAAAUAUCUUUGUGGGUUUUUUUUCUUUUUCAUUUUAUAGGAACUUUCUGUCUGAUUCUACCUUCUCCCCUGAUCUUGGUUUAUUGUUAAAAAUAAAUGCCUUCCUUUAAAGUAACCUCCCACCUUUUGUGCUGUGCUAGGAGAAAAAAAGAGGAAAGUUAGCUAUAAAGAAAACAAUGACUCUGGUGCCAGGAGGUGGGAAUGAUUUAAAAUGCCUCCAUCCAAUUGAGCAGAAAACCUGUGGCCCUUUGAAGCUGAACUCUGGAAGUCUCACUGCACAUAAUUGGAAUCAGUGUGAAUAUCACAUGCAGCAAAAUGAGAAAAUGUCACUGACUUGUCCUUCUUUGGUGAAGAAAUGCUUACCUUUCUGUUCGAAGGGCUCAGAAGGACCCACUCAGAUGAGAGCAAUUUCUUCCCCAUCCUUUUACUGUGAGUCCCUGUGCCCCUCUUGAAAGGGGGCCUCACAUCAGAAAAAGCUAUGGGACAGAAUUGCCCCUCCAUUUUCUUCUUAAAUGGCCAUUCAUGACACACAAGAGGAUGCCUCCUGCAUUCAGGAGAGCGCUGCACAUGCCGAACCACACAUACCCAAGUGAGAUCGAGGGGAGGGAUGGAGGGACGGCCAGGAAGUUGGGUGGUUUGGGCCAGGAUGGAGCCCUUCUGUACCGGGAGUUCCGCUGUAGCCCAGUGAGUGAAGGAUCUGGUGUUGCUGCAGCUACCACCAGGGGCUGGAAAUAGAAGAGGAGGAGCAGAGAUACUUCCACGUUAAGAUGGUGCCUCUGGUGGUUUUGCCUGGUUCUCCCAUGGAGAUGCACAGAGCUGGGGAGUGACUGUAGAACCUACAGCUUCAGGACCACAGUGAGCGGGGAGGGGGACAGCAUCCCUGACCCACUGACUCACCUGCCCACCACCGCUGGGUGAUUAACACACAACAUUUCCUGAGAUGUGCUUUCCAACAGCAACAGGGCUUGGUCCUCAGGAGGGGCAAGCGACCAGGGUGCCACUGAGUGCAGGUGCAGGGCCUUGUUGAGGGGUGAUUUACGGUCAUAGCUGAGAGGGACACUUGGAGCAUCACAGGACAGAUGGGGUAAUGGGACAGAAAUGGGAGAGUGGACUCAUCACCAAAGGCCUUGGACAAGACAAGUUUACCGGAACCAUUGAGGUGAGCGGGGAUGAGUGAGUCCCCGCAGUCCUGCCAUGACCCCGGAGCCACACCCCAGUGGCUGCAGGACCCGGUGGGCUCAACUCUCACUGGUCUUUUGUCACUCAGGCCUGUGUUUGCAUGCAGUAUUUUGCACUUCUUUUUCCGUGACUUUCUGCAGUGGGCUGGGCCUUUCUUGGCCCCUUCCCCACUAUUUCCUCUCAGCUUGAGCCAGGUCUGGGAGGAAAGAGGUCCCCAGAUCCCACCUUGGUGUCCACGUGGUCCUCACGCUCACGCAGGUAACUCCCUGAACUCUACAGCUGGCAGUGAUGGGAGUGAAGGGACAGUCCUUGCUAUCAAGCCUGACUUCCUGCACCCUGGCCAAAGAACCGGGGUCCUGCCUUUAGAAGCUCUCCCUGGGCCUCACGGGGCCAUGUUCAGCUCUGGUCCUGCCAUUUUGCUGAACUCGGCAUUUAGUGAGCAUCUCCCAGAGCCCAGUCCCAUGUCACCUGAUGCUUACUGAAGGCUAGUUAGAUGCCAAGCCUGCUGAGUAUUUUAACACAUCACCUCAUUUUUCAUAACAAACUCCUAUGUAGGUAUAACUAUUAAUGCUAUUUUACUAAGGCCUGCCUUUUAGGAGCUCAUGAAUGAGGAGGAGGCAUCUAGCUACAAUAUAGUAUGAAUAUCUCAUGUAGUCAAGAGUGUCUUCAGGAGUUCCCUGGUGGCCUAGCAGUUAAGGAUCUGAUGUUGUCCCUGCUAUAGCCCGGGUCACUGUUGUGGUGACGGUUCGAUCCCAUGCCCAGGAAUUUGCACAUGCCAUGGGUACAACCACAAAAAAAGGGGGGGAAAGCAUCUCUAUACCACCUAGCUGACAGGUUCUUCUGGGUCCUGGAGGAUAAUGUACACAAGACAGGCAAGGUCCCUGCUCCCCUGUGGCAGAUGCAGGCCAGCUGGAGACAGAUAAGCAGGGACAGUGGAGAUGGCCAUGGUAGUGCCUGCUCCUUGGUGGCAGGACAUCACAGGGGCUUUCCCACAAGCCUGGGGGCAGAGGGAACCUUCUGGAGAAGGUAAGUAUUCCUGUUUUCUACCAACAUUUAGCAGCUUAAGACAAUAUCUCAGCAUCCAGCACCACUCUAGAUUAGCUGGGCGGAUCUCUUGGGGGGAUCUAUCAGAUGCUGGGCAGAGCUGGGCUGGGCUGGGGUCUCAGAGGCUGGAUGCUGAGAUGGCUCCCUGACUUACAACAGGUCUGAUGGGACAGGGGGUUGACUGGGCAUCUCCACUCCCUGGGAGGUCUCCCCAUCUCUUGGCCAACAGGGCAAGGUAGGCUCAGGCCCCGAACAGCUUCUGCAGUGUCUGACUGCCUCCAGAAGCCAUAUUCCAAGAGUUCAUUGCAGAAAGCACAGGGCUUCCUUCUUCUGGCUUUGGGAGCUCCUACAGAUGUUUAUCUCACACUCUAUUGGUUAUAAGUGAAUGCCGGGUCAGCCUGAAUUUAAGAGGAGAAGCCCUAUGUUCAAAAGGCAUGAAUACAGGAGGUUAGCUCACUGGUAGCCAUGGAGACAGGGUGCACAGGAGGGAGUGGGGCUGCAAUAACAGAGCACAGGGGCUUCUCAGGUAGGCAUAGGAAAAGUUGUUAUUGACUGAGUAUCAACUCAUUAGGCAACAGACACAUCACAUUGUGAUAUUUUAAUAUACUGCAUGCAUAGUUCAAACAUACACCUAACUAUAACCAUCCUACAAGGUGAAUAUUCUAACCUUGGUUUUAAAAGUGGGUGCUCAGAUCUAGAGCACAUACAUGACUGCUCACAGUUCCUUGCAGUGGCCACACUAGGGUUUCCAAUAAAGUAAGGUUGAAUUGAGCUAUCUUCAAGGUCACUUCUGCUUAGACGGUCAGCAGAGACUUCGUAGAGGAGGUGAUGCCUUAAGAGUGUUUGCUACGGGAACAGCCCUAAAAAGACAAAAUAAAAAUAAAAACUAAAUAUAGAAAUACCAUGUGAUCCAGCAAUCUCAAUCCUGGGCAUAUAUCUGGAUACAACUCUAAUUCAAAAAGAUAUGUAAAUAACAUAAAUGUCCAUCGACAGAUGAAUGGAUAAAGGAGAUAUGAUGCAUAUACACAAUGAGAUACUACUCAGCCAUAAAAAAGGAACAAAAUAAUGCCAUUUCCAGCAACAUGGAUGGACCUAGAGAUGAUCACACUAAGUGAAGUUAGUCAGACGGUGAAAGACACCACUUAUAUUUGGAAUCUUAUUUUUAAAAUGAUACAGAAGAUCUUAUUUCUAAAAUGGGAACAAACUCACAGAUUUCAAAACCAGUCUUAUGGUUACCACAGAUGAAACCAUGGAGAGGAGGAAAGAAUUGGGAGGGUGGGAAUAACAUAUUCACAUGACUGUAUAACACAGAUGACUAACGGGAACCUACUGUAUAGCACAGGAAAAUCUACUCAAUAGUUUGUAAUAACAUACAUGGAAAAAAAGAAUGGACAUAUGUAUAUGUAUGACCAAUUCACUUUGCUGAACACCUGAAACUAACACAACAUUGUACAUCAACUAUAUGCCAAUAAUUUUUAAUAAUUUAAAAAUAAAAAAUAAAAUGUACUGUAUAAACACAUAAAAAUAAAUGCAUAAACAGCGUUUAUGCUCCCUCCUUCCAGACGAUGCUGCCAAGCCCCACAUCAGACCCUCAGCAUCUUGCAGCAGCCUCUCCACUGCUUUCUCUCCCUCCAGGCUCAGCUCCUCUGGAUAAUCUCCAAACUAUAGCCCCCAAUGUUUUCCUAAAAGGCAGCCUCCAUCUUUCACUAUGAGAUUCAGUAGUCUAAUAUUGGAAGUUCAGACUCCAGAGCACACUUUGUGAUGUGUUUUUUGCAUCUCUCUUGUCCCACCACCCACUGUCCUUCCUACACACGUACCUGCUUGCCUGAGCCCUGCAAGUCCCCAUACCCCCAGCCCACCUCCAGUCUGUCCAUGCUAUUCUCUUAUUCUCUCUGCCUGCAGUAUCCCUACCUCUCUCAGCUUCUGGACAAGAGUCUGCCUGGGUGAGAGUCAAUCUGCACUGUGGAAAUCAACCUUGUUCCAGCUCCACUGCCCCCUCCCUAAUAUCACAGUACCUUCUACUGUCCAUUUGCCUUUCAGAGCCAUCCUGGGGAAUAAAGAAAGACACAUUCAAAGAGAAUUACUUUCCCUGCCUGUCUCUCCAUUCCUAACACCUUUCCCAAUCACACACCUGCCUUUGUAGAAGCAUGGCUAUGACGGACACAUACAUCCAUGGGUGCAAAAUAACCUUGAAUCAAUUUUAGUGGAUGUGGGCACAGGGACUGUGCAAAGAUUGGCAACAUCACAGGUUUGCUCAAGGCCAUACCUGGUGUUUUCCUACUUUCUAAAUCCCUCACGCCUCAGUCCCAAACUGAGCUUGCUUUGAAUGCCUGGCUGCUCUAUAUGAAAUAAAGGCUGCUCAGAGUCCCUUGGUGGCUCAGACAGUUAAAGAUCCAGCGUUGUCACUGCUGUGGCACAGGUUAGAUCCCUUGCCCAGGAACUUCUGCAUGCCAGAAGUACAGCCAAAAAAAUAACUAAAAUUUUAAAUAAAAUAAAAACAGCUAAAGCUUCUGUGCCCAGGGUAGAAUAUUCUGGUCAUCAGAAGUCUGUUGGUAAAGAGAACCCCGUUGACCUUUUAUCAGGGCCCAGGUUGCCUCAUUUCUUUCCAGUAUGUCCAAGAUUUAUUCUGUUUCAAAUACUCUCUGGGAACCAAAAUUUGGUAAAAGUAGAUUACAUUUAGAGAAAUAGUCUACCUGGCACAUAUUUUGAGUACCAUCUUAUUUAAGCCUCUCUCAUUUUGAAAUAUUUUCUCUGCCAUCAUUCAGGUGACAUCAAGGCUCAGAAGAAAAAAAAAAAAAAUGUGACUUGCUCAUGGUCACAUGACUGGUGACGCCCCCAGCCCAGGUGCCACAGACUCAGAUUCCAGCUCUAUGCACCAGCUCACUACCCAAAUACACAGAACAUUCCUAUCAACUUCCCAUGCCCUUUUAUACAUUAACUUUUCUUCUAGCUUCAGCAAAGACGCUAUUACCGGUUUCUAUUAUCUGCAGACACUCACUGCAGGCAAUUUCUUUAGGAAAACACCCUGUCUGUGUCAUGAUAAGGAAUGCGCACCAAAGGCUUGCUAUUUGCUUUUUCACCUCUCUUUGUCUUUUGACAGCGUAUCUUUUUCUAAACCCCACUUUAUUGCUGGUAUUAACACCCUCCUAUUUUUAGGAAAUGACUUCUUAGGGUUUCUCUGAUGCCCCAGAAACUGUUCCUCUCAAAGUCGCUUUCUAUGAUACAAUCUUUCCAGCAGAACUAAAUAAUUGUUUGAAUGAAUGGUCAGUAGUUUGAAGCCUUUAAUUGAGCAGCAAAAGACACAGUUAGGAUGUACUCCUCAAAACAGGAUCCAGAAAACAAGAAGCUGCAACAUUUGCAAAGGAAAAAAAAAAAAAAAAAAAAAAAAAAAAAAAAAAAAAAGCUCAAUAGUUCAUUUACAGGCAGCCACUGAGGAGGAAAGCUCAGUUUUACAGAGGUGUGACAAGAGGAAAGGUAUUCUAGGAAAACAUUCCAAAAAAAAAUUCUGAGGACCCAGAGAAGCUGGCUUUUCCAAUCCUCCAAAUGAAGAAAUAAAAGCAUGAAUUUCCAGAAUUGUUUUAACUCGGAAGUGAGGCCAAACAGUUUGUACUUAGCUAUUUUUAGCUAUUUUCCUUCAGUUUUAAUAACACACUGGAACACUGGAGAUGGGUUAUGAGGAUCCAAAGUACAAAAUCAUAAAAUAUUUUUAAAAGGCUGAACAUCAAUUGUGCCACUCACAGAUGCUUAGUAAAUGCUCAUUUGAGAGAGUGGGUGAGUGAGUGUUGCUAGCAAAUGUGGAUGAGAGUGGGAGGGAGCAGGAAGUGAGGCGGUCUGCCUGGGACAGGGUAACCCACAAAGCUGCAGGGCAAAUGCUGCGCCCAUGCUAUCUGCCGGCCAGUCUGCCUUCAACAUUGAAAGCCAAGGUGGAGGAAGAAACAGAACCCCCGGAUGCCAGCAACCCCAUGGCCACCCAGUGUGAGUCUUGAGCACGUCCCCCAUUUCUCCAUGUCUUCUCAAAUACCCGCUUCCCUCUGCCUCCCUCCCUCAUCCCCAGCCCCACCCGAAUGAAAGGCCUGGCCUGGAGGAGCUUGGUAAACAUCGACGGAGUAAGUAAUCCACUGUGUAUGAACAGACACUGUGCCUGGCCCACUCCCGCCCUUCACCUGCCUUCCCUCCCCCUCGCGGUGCUGCACAGAGUGCCCGCCCCUGUCUGCUCUGCCCAGCAGGGACCGGGAGACCCCAGGCUCUCACUUGGACUCGCACUUGAGCUUGGACUUCGCACUUCGGAGAAGUUCCUGGUGUCACCUGUGCUGCAGGUGUUCUGAGUGCGCUGACAUUUCCAGGGGGAGGGGGCAAAGGGGUCCUGAGCCACACACUAAAGUAACAAUGUGCUUCUCAGGAAUGCUGGAGGGAAAAGCUCUGGGAAGAGCCAACCUUUCAUUGGGGUCAAAAGAGUUCCUGAUUCCUUUGAGCAUGUUCUCUGUGACUGCAAAUAACUCUCUGGGAUCCAGGCUGAGUGGAAUUACAGGGACAUCUAAUACCCACUCACAUUAAUGCCUCCCUGUGCGGAGGACACUCUUCAUUUGGUGGGAUUUCACACCACUUUGUGGGGAAGUGCAAACCCUAUAGAGAGGUACCUCGGUCUAUGGAAGAGAUGAAAGUGUUCAUCUAAAUAUGAAACACCCCCCCCCCCAACCAAAUUCUCUGACUGCAAACUCUAAACUCAAACUCAGAGAUAAGAUCUUCUGGGAAAACUCCUGGUCUGAAGACCACAUUUAUGCAUACAAACAACUUCUUGAUAUGUACAUAUCCAAGAGGAAAAGCAUUUCCUAAUAAAUGAUUCACAGUAUUCAAAAGC